RNAcentral lists this ribosomal RNA (442 nucleotides) under uncultured bacterium. RNAcentral describes it as "partial 16S ribosomal RNA". It matches the Rfam family "Bacterial small subunit ribosomal RNA", at positions 339 to 795 of the family's 1533-position model. The record is from RNAcentral.
CUACGGGUCGCACCAGUCGAGAAUCUUCCGCAAUGGGCGCAAGCCUGACGGAGCAAUGCCGCGUGAGGGAUGACGGCCCUAGGGUUGUAAACCUCUGUCAGAAGGGACGAAGAACGUGACGGUACCUUCAGAGGAAGCCAUGGCUAACUACGUGCCAGCAGCCGCGGUAAUACGUAGAUGGCGAGCGUUAUUCGGAUUUACUGGGCGUAAAGGGUCCGUAGGGGGUCUGCCAAGUCUGAUGUGAAAUCCUGCGGCUCAACCACGGAACUGCAUUGGAAACUGGCGGACUAGAGUGUGCGAGGGGUGAGCGGAAUUCCUGGUGUAGCGGUGGAAUGCGUAGAUAUCAGGAAGAACACCGAUGGCGAAGGCGGCUCACUGGCGCAUCACUGACCCUGAGGGACGAAAGCGUGGGUAGCAAACAGGAUUAGAUACCCCCGUAGUC